UACUAUGUAUAAUAAUUUCCCAUUAAUUCAAGAAUUUAUCAUUUACUAAAUGAAAAUAACAUAAUAAAACAUGGAAGGUAACAACAAAAUUCUCACCCAUGAUCACAUAAUUAAGAACUAGUACUAUAUUGAGAUAAUAUCUCAUUACAAACUCCUUAAUAUAAAACACAACAAUAAUUAAAAUUCAUUCAACAACAUGAGGUCAAAUAGAAAUACAAUAAUUAGUAAUAAACUACGGAAAAAAAAAUAUGCUGCUUCCUCAAACGCUAAUGUAAUCACUUGUCUUGUAACUUUGCUCUUGAAUAAAUUUAAACUUUCAUGUACCUGUGGAAGAAAAAAAUAAUUUUAGUACAUUUGAUAACAUAAUUUAGCAAAAAACAUAUUUUCAAACAUUAGUCAUAUCAUAUUUUAAUUUGUGAAGAAAAUAAUAGAACGACAAAUUAGCACUAGCCGGUAGAAAGGUACUUAGUCAAAGUUAGGCGGUAAAUAUUUAAUUCUUCUUUGACUCCAAAUAACCACAAGAAUUAAGACAGAGAUAUGAAAUUAAGAUUAACUAAUCACUCAAAAAUUAAUGAAUAAUAAACAAAUUUCUUCAUACCUCUGCAAUAGAAUUAAAUCAAUAAGAACCCACGAAUACGUACACAUAAUAUAUCAUCUCGAGAAACCCAAAUUUUUAUUGCCCUAUAAUUGAAAGAAAAAGAUAUUCCGUAUGAGAGAUGCAACAGAAAAAAAUUGAAGAAUAAUUAAUAUUUUUUAACUUAGAUUGAGGAUUUGUACCAACGCAAAGGAGGCGCCAGAAGAGGCUUUGCGUCUUAAAACGCCCAUCACGCAAUUUGAUCUUUUAUGUUAUUAAAUCAACAAAAGAAUUCGAAGAAAAUUAAACAUUACAGAAUAUAAAGGAUUUGUAUGUGUGAAAGAGACAGAAAUGAUAAAUUAAUGGAGGUAGGUAAUAUAGAUCUAAGUGGUGCAAUAAUUUGAUUAGGGAGAUGAAUAUCACAAAGUGUUGGGAGAGAAAAGAGGGAGAAUUGAGAAAUGAGGAGGCGUCAGUUCUUAUUAAAA
RNAcentral lists this long non-coding RNA (1059 nucleotides) under Nicotiana tabacum (common tobacco). Its description in RNAcentral is "long non-coding RNA (NTAB_LNC004321)". The record is from RNAcentral. Lineage: Eukaryota; Viridiplantae; Streptophyta; Magnoliopsida; Solanales; Solanaceae.